GCACUGCCUUUGAACCAGGGUAUGGCCCCAUUCACGGCCUCUCUGGCUACGCUGCAGUGCAAAAGCAAGCGCUUGCUCAUAACUGGUCCUGCUCGGCGGAAACCUGAGUGGUUCUUUUAAAGGCAAGUUACAUGU
Euleptes europaea (tarantolino) is the source of this 135-nucleotide small nucleolar RNA. The record is from RefSeq and is a predicted model, not a curated record. Lineage: Eukaryota; Metazoa; Chordata; Lepidosauria; Squamata; Sphaerodactylidae.